CGCUGGCGGCGUGCCUAAUACAUGCAAGUCGAGCGAACAGACGAGGAGCUUGCUCCUUUGACGUUAGCGGCGGACGGGUGAGUGACACGUGGGUAACCUACCUAUAAGACUGGGAUAACUUCGGGAAACCGGAGCUAAUACCGGAUAAUAUUUCGAACCGCAUGGUUCGAUAGUGAAAGAUGGCUCUGCUAUCACUUAUAGAUGGACCUGCGCCGUAUUAGCUAGUUGGUAAGGUAACGGCUUACCAAGGCAACGAUACGUAGCCGACCUGAGAGGGUGAUCGGCCACACUGGAACUGAGACACGGUCCAGACUCCUACGGGAGGCAGCAGUAGGGAAUCUUCCGCAAUGGGCGAAAGCCUGACGGAGCAACGCCGCGUGAGUGAUGAAGGUCUUCGGAUCGUAAAACUCUGUUAUUAGGGAAGAACAAACGUGUAAGUAACUGUGCACGUCUUGACGGUACCUAAUCAGAAAGCCACGGCUAACUACGUGCCAGCAGCCGCGGUAAUACGUAGGUGGCAAGCGUUAUCCGGAAUUAUUGGGCGUAAAGCGCGCGUAGGCGGUUUUUUAAGUCUGAUGUGAAAGCCCACGGCUCAACCGUGGAGGGUCAUUGGAAACUGGAAAACUUGAGUGCAGAAGAGGAAAGUGGAAUUCCAUGUGUAGCGGUGAAAUGCGCAGAGAUAUGGAGGAACACCAGUGGCGAAGGCGACUUUCUGGUCUGUAACUGACGCUGAUGUGCGAAAGCGUGGGGAUCAAACAGGAUUAGAUACCCUGGUAGUCC
RNAcentral lists this ribosomal RNA (780 nucleotides) under uncultured bacterium. Its description in RNAcentral is "bacterial SSU rRNA". It matches the Rfam family "Bacterial small subunit ribosomal RNA", at positions 34 to 796 of the family's 1533-position model. The record is from RNAcentral.